Molecule: long non-coding RNA, 364 nt
Filed under: Elaeis guineensis (African oil palm)
Lineage: Eukaryota; Viridiplantae; Streptophyta; Magnoliopsida; Arecales; Arecaceae
Description: long non-coding RNA (EGUI_LNC021481)
Source: RNAcentral
AAUGAAAUGCUUUGAAAUCUAUAUAGACGGAUAGAUAAUAUAAGAUAUAUUACUUUAAAAUCUAUGUAUAUAGAUGGAUGAUAAAGAUAGAACAUUUUGAGAUCUACGUAGGUAGAUGAAUAAUAAAAAAUAGAGUGCUUUGAGAUCUGUAGAGAUGGAUGGAUGAUAGAGAACGGAGUAUUUUAAGAGCUAUAUAGACGAAUAGAUGAUAAAAGACAGAGCAUUUUGAGAUUUAUGUAAAUAUAAUGGAUGACAAAAGAUAGAGUACUUUGAGAUCUAUGCAGAUGGAUGGUAGAGGAUAGAGGAUGGAGUAUUUUGAGAUCUAUAUAAAUGGAUGGAUGAUAGAGGAUGGAGUACUUUGAGA